CACAUUGAAACACCGGUUUUCGUUCAAUCACUGAAGUUAAGCAAUACUGAGCCUGAUCACUACCUAGAUGGGCGACUACUUAGGAAUACCAGGUGCUGUAAG
Molecule: non-coding RNA, 102 nt
Organism: Acanthosepion pharaonis
Lineage: Eukaryota; Metazoa; Mollusca; Cephalopoda; Sepiida; Sepiidae
Source: the annotation of a GenBank genome assembly